AUUGAACGCUGGCGGCAGGCCUAACACAUGCAAGUCGAACGAGUGGCGGACGGGUGAGUAAUUUCUGGGAAACUGCCUGAUGGAGGGGGAUAACUACUGGAAACGGUAGCUAAUACCGCAUACCAUCGUAUGUUCCCAGAUGGGAUUAGCUAGUAGGUGGGGUAAAGGCUCACCUAGGCAACGAUCCGUAGCUGGUUUGAGAGGCCGCCCGGCCACACUGGGACUGAGACAAGGACCAGACUCCUACGGGAGGCAGCAGGGGGGAAGUUUGGACAAUGGGGGAAAGCCUGAUCCAGCCAUCCCGCGUGUAUGAUGAAGGCCUUCGGGUUGUAAAGUACUUUUGGCAGAGAAGCGGUAUCUGCAGAAUAAGCACCGGCUAACUACGUGCCAGCAGCCGCGGUAAUAC
RNAcentral lists this ribosomal RNA (406 nucleotides) under uncultured bacterium. RNAcentral's name for it is "partial 16S ribosomal RNA". It matches the Rfam family "Bacterial small subunit ribosomal RNA", at positions 30 to 526 of the family's 1533-position model. The record is from RNAcentral.